This 397-nucleotide ribosomal RNA is filed under the name uncultured bacterium. Its description in RNAcentral is "partial 16S ribosomal RNA". It matches the Rfam family "Bacterial small subunit ribosomal RNA", at positions 523 to 918 of the family's 1533-position model. The record is from RNAcentral.
CUCCGUAGGUGGCAAGCGUUGUCCGGAAUUAUUGGGCGUAAAGCGCGCGCAGGUGGUUCCUUAAGUCUGAUGUGAAAGCCCCCGGCUCAACCGGGGAGGGUCAUUGGAAACUGGGGAACUUGAGUGCAGAAGAGGAUAGUGGAAUUCCAAGUGUAGCGGUGAAAUGCGUAGAGAUUUGGAGGAACACCAGUGGCGAAGGCGACUGUCUGGUCUGUAACUGACACUGAGGCGCGAAAGCGUGGGGAGCAAACAGGAUUAGAUACCCUGGUAGUCCACGCCGUAAACGAUGAGUGCUAAGUGUUGGGGGGUUUCCGCCCCUCAGUGCUGCAGCUAACGCAUUAAGCACUCCGCCUGGGGAGUACGGUCGCAAGACUGAAACUCAAAUGAAUUGACGGGG